Molecule: ribosomal RNA, 465 nt
Filed under: uncultured bacterium
Lineage: Bacteria
Description: partial 16S ribosomal RNA
Rfam family: Bacterial small subunit ribosomal RNA
Source: RNAcentral
GACGAACGCUGGCGGCGUGCUUAACACAUGCAAGUCGAACGGAAAGGCCCUGCUUGCCGGGUACUCGAGUGGCGAACGGGUGAGUAACACGUGGGUGAUCUGCCCUGCACUUCGGGAUAAGCCUGGGAAACUGGGUCUAAUACCGGAUAGGAGCCAUUUUUAGUGUGAUGGUUGGAAAGUUUUUUCGGUGUAGGAUGAGCUCGCGGCCUAUCAGCUUGUUGGUGGGGUAAUGGCCUACCAAGGCGGCGACGGGUAGCCGGCCUGAGAGGGGGGACGGCCACAUUGGGACUGAGAUACGGCCCAGACUCCUACGGGAGGCAGCAGUGGGGAAUAUUGCACAAUGGGCGCAAGCCUGAUGCAGCGACGCCGCGUGGGGGAUGACGGCCUUCGGGUUGUAAACUCCUUUCGCUAGGGACGAAGCUUUGUGUGACGGUACCUAGAUAAGAAGCACCGGCUAACUACGUG